RNA transcript from Beta vulgaris subsp. vulgaris (sugar beet), 1315 nucleotides. RefSeq lists it as uncharacterized. Lineage: Eukaryota; Viridiplantae; Streptophyta; Magnoliopsida; Caryophyllales; Amaranthaceae. The transcript is spliced from 3 exons. The record is from RefSeq and is a predicted model, not a curated record.
UGAAAUUAAAACUCGUAGUGUAUAUCAAAUUUUAUUUCGACUCUCUCAUUAGUCCUUCACUCCGUGCUUUCUCUCUUCUUCCCUCUCCAUCAAACUGCUUCUUUGUCUGUCUCUUCCCUCUUCACUCUCGAUCCGCUCCUUUAAAUUUCAGUUUUGAGCAGCUCUAUGUAUCAGUUUCACAAAUGAGAAACUGCAGCAGCAUUUCAAACAGGUGGAAUUGGCAAGACAGAUUGAGAAAACAGGUGUUUUUGCUCUUGCUGUCCAUGGAAGAAGAGUUUCGGAUAAACCAAGGAAUCCUGCAAAGUGGAAUGAGAUUGCUGAUGUAGUUGCUGCAUUAUCAAUUCUAGUGGUACCAAAUGGAGAUGUUUUCACUCAUGAAGAUAUUCAACGCAUCAAAAUUUCUACAUGUUCCAUAAAACUUCUUUACAAUAAGACUGCUUAUAUCAACAUUUUGCAGGGUAGAUUGUGUUGAAUGCCAGUGCAUCAGAAUUGCUACAGGUUCCAUAAAACUUUUCCAGAAUAAGACUGCUUAAAUCAAAAUUUUACAGGGUAGAUCAUAUUGAAGCACAUUAAAAUUAUCACGGGUAGAUCAUACAAUUGUGUACUUCAGAACUAGCAGUAGUAACAGCACAAGAUGUUGUGUUAAUAGUAUGAUCCUACAACCUCUUAAUAAAAAGGAACAUGGCUACAUCACUUUCAUUCAGGGUAGCAGAAUCAAAUAUGGUAGUAGUAGACCAAGUGUGCUACUACAUGAACAAUAUACAACCUUCACUAGAAUAAGUUAGUCACUUCUUCCAUAUUAUAGAUCAGAGAGUACAUGUGGUUUAAAAAUUUAGUAAUAGUAGUUCAGGUAGCCCUCACCUUGACCCUAAGUUGCUGUAGGAUUUCAGGGCGAACUUAUAUGCAAGGUUAGUUAGUGUGUAAGUUCCUUUCUUCUUAUGUUAUGGAUCAUAUCCUUUUGUUUUACAUGUCUCGAAUGUGUCAUAGUGUCUCUCCUGUUUUUAGUCCUUUUGCUGAUUGUGGGGCCCUGGGGAAAUAUGCUGAUUACUAAUACUAAUACUAUAUUGUUAUUAUAUUACUAAUACUAAUAAUAUUAUGUUGUGGCAUUUAUGACUUCAAGUUUCUACUUUCUAACUUGUUCAUUGUUAUAUACUGAUUAUCCUUCUCAAUUGGUUAGUUUUCGUCUUUCUAGAGUUUGUUGUUUAUGUCUUACUGUUGAUUUUGUGCCUUUACCAAUAUAUAAAGACUUUGAUGUUUACUAAUGGUUACAUAGGAGCCUAGCUAUUGCAGACUCUAAUGAACCCAUAUUUUACUU